AUUGGGGGCAACGCGAAGAACCUUACCUACUCUUGACAUCCAGAGAACUUUCCAGAGAUGGAUUGGUGCCUUCGGGAACUCUGAGACAGGUGCUGCAUGGCUGUCGUCAGCUCGUGUUGUGUAAUGUUGGGUUAAGUCCCGCAACGAGCGCAACCCUUAUCCUUGUUUGCCAGCGAGUAAUGUCGGGAACUCCAGGGACCCCGCCGGUGAUAAACCGGAGGAAGGUGGGGACGACGUCAAGUCAUCAUGGCCCUUACGAGUAGGGCUACACACGUUCUACAAUGGCGCAUACAGAGGGCAGCCAACUUGCGAGAGUGAGCGAAUCCCAAAAAGUGCGUCGUAGUUCGGAUCGGAGUCUGCAACUCGACUCCAUGAAGUCGGAAUCGAAAAUAAUCGUGGAUCAGAAUGCCACGGUGAAUA
Molecule: ribosomal RNA, 420 nt
Filed under: Vibrio sp. PASRS84
Lineage: Bacteria; Pseudomonadati; Pseudomonadota; Gammaproteobacteria; Vibrionales; Vibrionaceae
Description: bacterial SSU rRNA
Rfam family: Bacterial small subunit ribosomal RNA
Source: RNAcentral